Long non-coding RNA from Oncorhynchus tshawytscha (Chinook salmon), 3109 nucleotides. Lineage: Eukaryota; Metazoa; Chordata; Actinopteri; Salmoniformes; Salmonidae. The record is from Ensembl.
AACAGAUCCUCGCAAGUAGUGUGGUGGUGUGUGUGUGUGUGUGUCUGUGUGUGUGUGUGUGUGUGUGUGUGUGUAAGGGAGGCAGGGAGCUGAGUAAACGGCUUAAAGCUGGUUGUAAUUGUGUUUUACUGCAGUCACUCCCAGAGGCACAGCCUCGUUGGCCUGUAUGCAGGACUCAAUGGGAUCCAGGUGUGAACACAACACAAUGGUUUCAAGGGAUACUAAUUUACCAAAGGAGUGGAGAAAAGUAACAGUCAGGGAUGAGAAUGAAUGUGUGAAAACUGAGAAGAGUUUUGGGGUUAAAGUUUGACACUGUGGUGUGUCCCAGGGGAGGUUCAUUUAAAAAGGAGCUUUCAGAGUGCAUGGUUGAGUGUCCCAGGUCUAAAUCAGUCCCUGAUUAAAGGGGAAUCACCCACCUGGUGUCCCAGGUCUAAAUCAGGGAACAAUGAAAUAAUGCAGUGAAACUGUCUUGGAGAUCCGGAGUUGAGUUUGAAGGCCCUAUAUAAUGCACUACUCACCCUAUUCCCUAUAUAAGCACUACUCACCCUAUUCCCUAUAUAGUGCACUACUUUUGACCUAGGGUGCCAUUUGCCAUCACACCUCUCUGAAACUAUGCAAAUCUGCCCGUCAUAUCAAGCUUGAGUGUGUCAGUGGAGAGGGAGGAAAACCCUUUUGACGGGGGGUUCCCGGUCUAGAAGGAACUGUAGUCCUUUCCAGCAGCUUCUUCUAGUGAAUCCUAUUGAAAUCCAGAAGAUUUUACAGGCUUUCCUACGAGGUAGAGAUGGAUUAAUGAUAAUAUGGAGAUUGUGGAGAAUAUUUGCUUCCAACAACAAGAGGCAGACUUUGCAGAGACUCAGUGUGCCUCACAAAAGUAGUGCACUAUAAAGGGAAUAGGGUGCCAUUUGGGACUCAGAGGAGUUUCUAAAAGAUAUUACAGCAUUAUUCAGACAUGGUGGGAGAUUAACAUGCUCAAUUACAAACUGUUCUGUAGGGCCAUUAUCCCAGUCUCUAAUGUAGCCCAGUGGGACCAUUAUCCCAGUCUCUAAUGUAGCCCAUUGGGGCCAUUAUCCCAGUCGCUAAAGUAGCCCAGUGGGGCCAUUAUCCCAGUCUCUAAGGUAGCCCAGUGGGACCAUUAUCCCAGUCUCUAAUGUAGCCCAUUGGGGCCAUUAUCCCAGUCGCUAAAGUAGCCCAGUGGGGCCAUUAUCCCAGUCUCUAAGGUAGCCCAGUGGUGCCAUUAUCCUAGUCUCUAAGGUAGCCCAGUGGUGCCAUUAUCCCAGUCUCUAAGGGAUCCCAGUGGGGCACUUAUCCCAGUCUCUAAUGUAGCCCAGUGGGACCAUUAUCCCAGUCGCUAAAGUAGCCCAGUGGGGCAUUAUCCCUGUCUCUUAAGGUAGCCCAGUGGGGCCAUUAUCCCAGUCUCUAAGGUAUCCCAGUGGGGAUAUUAUCCCAGUCUCUAAGGUAGCCCAGUGGGCCAUUGUCCCAGUCUCUAAGGUAGCCCAGUGGGGCCAUUAUCCCAGUCUCUAAGGUAGCCCAGUGGGGCCAUUAUCCCAGUCUCGAAUGUAGCCCAGUGGGGCCAUUAUCCCAGUCUCGAAUGUAGCCCAGUGGUGCCAUUAUCCUAUCUCGAAUGUAGCCCAGUGGGGCCAUUAUCCCAGUCUCUAAGGUAGCCCAGUGGGGCCAUUAUCCCAGUCUCGAAUGUAGCCCAGUGGGGCCAUUAUCCCAGUCUCAAAUGUAGCCCAGUGGGGCCAUUAUCCCAGUCUCGAAUGUAGCCCAGUGGGGCCAUUAUCCCAGUCUCGAAUGGAGCCCAGUGGUGCCAUUAUCCCAUCUCGAAUGUAGCCCAGUGGGGCCAUUAUCCCAGUCUCUAAUGUAGCCCAGUGGGGCCAUUAUCCCAGUCUCUAAGGUAGCCCAGUGGGGCCAUUAUCCCAGUCUCUAAUGUAGCCCAGUGGGGCCAUUAUCCCAGUCUCGAAUGUAGCCCAGUGGGGCCAUUAUCCCAGUCUCGAAUGUAGCCCAGUGGUGCCAUUAUCCCAGUCUCGAAAGUAGCCCAGUGGGGCCAUUAUCCCAGUCUCUAAUGUAGCCCAGUGGUGCCAUUAUCCCAGUCUCGAAUGUAGCCCAGUGGGGCCAUUAUCCCAGUCUCUAAUGUAGCCCAGUGGGGCCAUUAUCCCAGUCUCUAAUGUAGCCCAGUGGGGCCAUUAUCCCAGUCUCUAAUGUAGCCCAUUGGGGCCAUUAUCCCAGUCUGUAAGGUAGCCCAGUGGGGCCAUUAUCCCAGUCUCUAAUGUAGCCCAGUGGGGCCAUUAUCCCUGUCUCUAAUGUAGCCCAGUGGGGCCAUUAUCCCAAUCUCUAAGGUAGCCCAGUGGGGCCAUUAUCCCAGUCUCGAAUGUAGCCCAGUGGGGCCAUUAUCCCAGUCUCUAAUGUAGCCCAGUGGUGCCAUUAUCCCAGUCUGUAAGGUAGCCCAGUGGGGCCAUUAUCCCAGUCUCUAAUGUAGCCCAGUGGUGCCAUUAUCCCAGUCUGUAAGGUAGCCCAGUGGGGCCAUUAUCCCAGUCUCUAAGGUAGCCUAGGUGAUAUGCUGCUAUUUAUUUUCUAUUAUGCGAGUUUAAUGUGAUUUUCCAAUUAUACAACAGCAUGUGGGGAAGCAACUGAGGUAAAGGACUUAUUGGUUAAAUAUGAUUGAGUUGUAGAUUCCAGAGUAAUUCUUUACGCUCACAAAUAGAGCAUGGUUUACUGAUAAUAAUGGUAUAAUAAUGAUUCAAUGUGAUAAUGGUGAUAAUGGUAUAAUAAUGAUUCAAUGUGAUAAUGGUGAUAAUGGUAUAAUAAUGAUUCAAUGUGAUAAUGGUACAAUAAUGAUUCAAUGUCAUAAUGGUAUAAUAAUGAUUCAAUGUGAUAAUGGUGAUAAUGGUAUAAUAAUGAUUCAAUGUGAUAAUGGUAUAAUAAUGAUUCAAUGUGAUAAUGGUGAUAAUGGUAUAAUAAUGAUUCAAUGCGAUAAUGGUGAUAAUGGUCCAAUAAUGAUUCAAUGUGAUAAUGGUGCUAAUGGUAUAAUAAUGAUUCAAUGUGAUAAUGGUGAUAAUGGUAUAAUAAUGAUUCAAUGUGAUAAUGGUAUAAUAAUGAUUCAAUGUGAUAA